RNAcentral lists this ribosomal RNA (1384 nucleotides) under Weissella confusa. RNAcentral's name for it is "16S ribosomal RNA". It matches the Rfam family "Bacterial small subunit ribosomal RNA", at positions 93 to 1465 of the family's 1533-position model. Lineage: Bacteria; Bacillati; Bacillota; Bacilli; Lactobacillales; Lactobacillaceae. The record is from RNAcentral.
GAGUGGCGAACGGGUGAGUAACACGUGGGAAACCUACCUCUUAGCAGGGGAUAACAUUUGGAAACAGAUGCUAAUACCGUAUAACAAUGACAACCGCAUGGUUGUUAUUUAAAAGAUGGUUCUGCUAUCACUAAGAGAUGGUCCCGCGGUGCAUUAGCUAGUUGGUAAGGUAAUGGCUUACCAAGGCGAUGAUGCAUAGCCGAGUUGAGAGACUGAUCGGCCACAAUGGGACUGAGACACGGCCCAUACUCCUACGGGAGGCAGCAGUAGGGAAUCUUCCACAAUGGGCGAAAGCCUGAUGGAGCAACGCCGCGUGUGUGAUGAAGGGUUUCGGCUCGUAAAACACUGUUGUAAGAGAAGAAUGACAUUGAGAGUAACUGUUCAAUGUGUGACGGUAUCUUACCAGAAAGGAACGGCUAAAUACGUGCCAGCAGCCGCGGUAAUACGUAUGUUCCAAGCGUUAUCCGGAUUUAUUGGGCGUAAAGCGAGCGCAGACGGUUAUUUAAGUCUGAAGUGAAAGCCCUCAGCUCAACUGAGGAAUUGCUUUGGAAACUGGAUGACUUGAGUGCAGUAGAGGAAAGUGGAACUCCAUGUGUAGCGGUGAAAUGCGUAGAUAUAUGGAAGAACACCAGUGGCGAAGGCGGCUUUCUGGACUGUAACUGACGUUGAGGCUCGAAAGUGUGGGUAGCAAACAGGAUUAGAUACCCUGGUAGUCCACACCGUAAACGAUGAGUGCUAGGUGUUUGAGGGUUUCCGCCCUUAAGUGCCGCAGCUAACGCAUUAAGCACUCCGCCUGGGGAGUACGACCGCAAGGUUGAAACUCAAAGGAAUUGACGGGGACCCGCACAAGCGGUGGAGCAUGUGGUUUAAUUCGAAGCAACGCGAAGAACCUUACCAGGUCUUGACAUCCCUUGACAACUCCAGAGAUGGAGCGUUCCCUUCGGGGACAAGGUGACAGGUGGUGCAUGGUUGUCGUCAGCUCGUGUCGUGAGAUGUUGGGUUAAGUCCCGCAACGAGCGCAACCCUUAUUACUAGUUGCCAGCAUUCAGUUGGGCACUCUAGUGAGACUGCCGGUGACAAACCGGAGGAAGGUGGGGAUGACGUCAAAUCAUCAUGCCCCUUAUGACCUGGGCUACACACGUGCUACAAUGGCGUAUACAACGAGUUGCCAACCCGCGAGGGUGAGCUAAUCUCUUAAAGUACGUCUCAGUUCGGAUUGUAGGCUGCAACUCGCCUACAUGAAGUCGGAAUCGCUAGUAAUCGCGGAUCAGCACGCCGCGGUGAAUACGUUCCCGGGUCUUGUACACACCGCCCGUCACACCAUGAGAGUUUGUAACACCCAAAGCCGGUGGGGUAACCUUCGGGAGCCAGCCGUCUAAGGUGG